AGAGUUUGAUCCUGGCUCAGAACGAACACUGGCGGCGUGGAUUAGGCAUGCAAGUCGAACGGGAAAGUUCCCUUCGGGGGAUGAGUAUAGUGGCGAACGGGUGAGUAACGCGUGGGAAACCUGCCCUUUUGUGGGGGAUAACAGGCCUAACGGCCUGCUAAUACCGCAUACGUCCCCGGGGUCGCAUGGCCCUGGGAAGAAAGGUGGCCUCUCCUUGGAAGCUGCCGCAGAAGGAUGGUCCCGCGUCCCAUUAGCUUGUUGGUGGGGUAAUGGCCUACCAAGGCGACGAUGGGUAGCCGGCCUGAGAGGGUGUCCGGCCACACUGGGACUGAGAUACGGCCCAGACUCCUACGGGAGGCAGCAGUCGAGAAGCUUCGGCAAUGGGCGAAAGCCUGACCGAGCGACGCCGCGUGAGCGAUGAAGGUCCUAUGGAUUGUAAAGCUCUGUCAGAUUGGGAAGAAAACUUCGCGGCGAAUAACCGCGAAGCUUGACGGUACCAUCAGAGGAAGCACCGGCUAACUCCGUGCCAGCAGCCGCGGUAAUACGGAGGGUGCGAGCGUUGUUCGGAUUCACUGGGUAUAAAGGGUGCGCAGGCGGCCUGGUAAGUCAGGGGUGAAAUAUGACGGCUCAACCGUCAAACGGCCUCUGAAACUGCCUGGCUUGAGUCCGGGAGAGGAUGGUGGAAUUCCUGGUGUAGCGGUGAAAUGCGUAAAUAUCAGGAGGAACACCGAUGGCGAAGGCAGCUAUCUGGCCCGGUACUGACGCUCAGGCACGAAAGCUAGGGGAGCGAACAGGAUUAGAUACCCUGGUAGUCCUAGCCGUAAACGAUGGGCACUAGGUGUUGGAGGAGUCUACCCCUUCAGUGCCGCAGCUAAUGCAUUAAGUGCCCCACCUGGGGAGUACGAUCGCAAGGUUGAAACUCAAAGGAAUUGACGGGGGCCCGCACAAGCGGUGGAGCAUGUGGUUUAAUUCGAUGCAACGCGAAGAACCUUACCUGGGCUUGACAUGCAGGGGACAGGUGCAGAAAUGUACCCUCCUUCGGACCCCUGUGCAGGUGCUGCAUGGCUGUCGUCAGCUCGUGUCGUGAAAUGUUGGGUUAAGUCCCGCAGCGAGCGCAACCCCUGUCUUCAGUUGCCAUCAGUUCGGCUGGGGACUCUGGAGAGACUGCCGGUGACAAACCGGGGGAAGGUGGGGACGACGUCGAGUCAUCA
RNAcentral lists this ribosomal RNA (1211 nucleotides) under metagenome. RNAcentral describes it as "bacterial SSU rRNA". It matches the Rfam family "Bacterial small subunit ribosomal RNA", at positions 8 to 1195 of the family's 1533-position model. The record is from RNAcentral.